GUUUUCUGGCGACCGCGGCAGGACUCCGAAGGUGACUGGGGCGGUUCGCGUUCUGAUCCACUCCACGCCGGCACCGAGUGAUUCUCGGGGAGUCAUCGGCUCGUGCCCGACCCCCGCACCUGACGGACGACUGCAAAAGGGGAACCUUGCAGUGGAAUCGACCUAUGCCACUGGAGAAUCCGGUGCAUGACAUUCAACCAGGAGACCAAGUGUACGUGAAGAAUUGGUCCACCCACCCCUUGAAGGAGGCAUGGGACGGGCCCCGUCAAGUGAUCCUGACAACUUACACUGCAGUAAAGGUCGAAGGAAUCGACUCAUGGAUCCAUUACACCCGAGUCAAGAAAGUCCCUGUACAAUGGGAGACUCAGCUAGUCUCUCCAACACGGAUGAUCUUUCGCGGAAAGUAGCCUUUUUGAUUAUAUUGUUACUGGUAAUGACGAAACCAAUUCUUGUUAACGGUUCUAUUGUAGUUGCAGUUACCAAACCAGUGGAAAGGAUGGAUGUGAACCUGACCUAUGACCAGAAAACUGAAGUCCAGAAUGUGCAAGCAACCUGGAAGAAAGGUGCUGAUUAUCCAGAAGCAAAUAUUGUCACAGUUUGGGGAGUCAUCGAAAAGGAAACAAGACGCACCAGAAGAGUGAUAAAAGCCUUGGCAAGAACCAAUGAGAUACGCCUCAAUGAAAUACGCUGACCUCCUCUGAAGUAUGAAGAUGUCGUUGGGCAAGAUAAUCCAGCAUUUGAAAGAACCAACGAUAACUAAGAGUUGAGCAUUCUUGCAGAAGAUUGAAGAAUGCUCAAAAGGGGGGAAUUGUUGCCAUUUGAUUCAAUAAACUGUAUUAUUAAGAUAAUAGCAAACCAUAAUAGUUAGCAUUAGUUGACAUUAGUAGUAGUUAUGCUAAGGCUUGGUAGGCCGCAUGUAACCUGCAGAUGAACUGUAUAGCAGAUAUUGCAAUGUAAGCAGUGUAGCUAGGAGAUAAUCUAAAGAAUGCACCUCUUGGCAAAACCUAAAGGUCAAAGAGAUAAUCGUACCAAGUAGUGAAAGAAAUUAAGAAAUUGUGAUGAUGAAGAAAUCAUGUAGAAAACAUAU
Molecule: long non-coding RNA, 1087 nt
Organism: Poecile atricapillus (Black-capped chickadee)
Lineage: Eukaryota; Metazoa; Chordata; Aves; Passeriformes; Paridae
Exons: 3
Source: RefSeq, a predicted model, not a curated record